GUACGCAUUUUAGCACAUGAAUACUAAAAUUGGAACACUGUGUAAAAGGUUAGCAUGGCCCUUGCAGAAGGAUGACAGGCAAAUUCAGAAAGCAUUCCAUAUUGGG
Molecule: small nuclear RNA, 106 nt
Organism: Sorex fumeus (smoky shrew)
Lineage: Eukaryota; Metazoa; Chordata; Mammalia; Eulipotyphla; Soricidae
Source: RefSeq, a predicted model, not a curated record